Molecule: long non-coding RNA, 1970 nt
Organism: Mustela erminea (ermine)
Lineage: Eukaryota; Metazoa; Chordata; Mammalia; Carnivora; Mustelidae
Exons: 2
Source: RefSeq, a predicted model, not a curated record
UCCCUCUCUUCCUUUCUCCCUUCCUCCCUCCCUAUUUCUUUCCUUCCUUUCCCCUUUAAACAUUUAUUGAAAACCAACUGUGUGCCGGGCACUGGCCUGGGUACUAGAGGCUGCUUGUGUCAAGAAAAACGCAGAUCCUGUCUUGGAGGAGCACACCAUCAGCGCCUGGCAGACAAGCAUCUCUGCAGUUGUGCCCUGUUCUGAAGUCUGGAAGGCUGAAAUCAAGGUGUCAGCAGAGCCAUGUUCCCUCUGAGACUCUGGGUAGAAUCCUUCAUGGCCUCUUGUUAGCUUCUGGAGGUCACUGUUGACCCUUGGCAUUCCUUGGCUUGUAACUGCCUCACGCCAGUCUCGGCCUGUCUUCACAUGGCGUUGUCCCUGUGAAGGGACACAUGACAUUGCCACUUCUUAGAAGGACACCGGCCGUCUUGAAUUAGGACCCACCCUAAUGACUUAAUCUUUACUUGAUUACAUGUACAAAGACCCUAUUUCCAAGUAAGUUCAGUCAUAGGGAAGUGGGGGUUAGGGUUUCGACGUUAUCUUUUUAGGGGUUACAGUUCAUCCCAUAACAGAGAGGAACAGGUAGUUCCACUGAAUUUCUCCCAGGGCACAAUCAUGACCCUUGCCCUGGCUUUCACCUGUAGGCCCAGGCCUAACCAUGGGUGCCCCCAGCGCCUGGCGGCGGCGAACGUCAUGACCGGCUAAGACCAACUUUGGUACCAUGGCGCCCUCUGCUGUCCAGGUGUGGCAAGAGCAGUGUGGCUCCUGGAGAUCAAGCAGCCCUGCCCCUUGGAGACUUCAUACCUUUUUCAACCAUUGAGAAGACCUCCAUCCCGAGGCUGAGGUGGCCAACUAGAAGGCACCGAGGGUCUGGAGGCUGCAAGCACCGGCCCUUGGUGUCUGACUGACCUGGGUUUGCAUCCUGCCUCUAUGGCUGCAUGGCUGGUUGACCCUGGGCUUGUUGCUCGGUUUCUCUGUGUUUUGGUCGCCUCUUCAGGAGAGCAAAGGGGAUUGUUCAUGUUCCCAUGGGGCAUAGAGCUGAGCACAAAGUGCCCGCUCAUACCAGACAACUACUCAUUGUUAAAAUAUUAUGUUAAUAAAUGAGUUAAUAACUGUAAUGUUCUUAAAACAAACCAGGCAGAUAGUAAAUGCUAAUGGAGCAAUUUAUAUUCUUGGCAUCUACUAUUUGCCAGAUUUAUUCUCCUUGGAUCCCUAAGGGCUUAGUAGUGCCAAUAUUAAUAAUAAAUAAUUAGAUGGCAUAUAAUAUUAUUAUCAGUAUUUAUAGGCCCUUAAGGGUCCAAGGAAAUAAAAUUAGGAGGUUCCACAAGCCCAAGAUAUUAUUUUAUUGCACUAAAUCAUAUUUCUCUUUGACAAAUAAAAUGUGUAUUGGGGGGGAGAUUAUCUCAUAAAUUUGGAGUCAAUAAUAUUGGCUCUUUCUUUCUUUCUUUCUAUCUUUCUCUCUUGGCUAUCCUUCCUUCCUUCCUUCCACUUAGUUCUUCCCAUAUGAAUUAAAUAAAGCCUUCAAAAGUGUCCUUAUUUCUUGCUGCAAAGAAAUUUAGGAGGCUAAAGGGGGCUUGUGAGUUCAAAACUCCCCCAUGCUGACCAACCAUCCUGGUUGCCUAAGACUAAGGAGUUUCCUGGGAUUUGGGAACUUUCCGUGCAAAAACUGGGACAGUCCCAGCAUACUGAGACAGUUGGUCCCCUUAACUUCUUUCCACCCUGCUUGGGCCAGAAACUCACUCCCAGGAGAAAGACUGAUUCAAAUCCAGGGAGGGGCUUAAGAUCUCACUUAUUUGGCCGGAAACCCAGUUCUUAGAGUAAUAAGAUGCUGACCUUCAGUAAAUCACUUAACCUCUCUGAGCUUUGGUCUAUAAAGAUGGGAUGUUGUGGAUAUCCAGAUAAGGUGUACAAGUACUUGGCUUGGAGCCUGGUACAGACAGUUCUCCAAUAAACUCAUUUGGCUGUGGAUUCUA